This 164-nucleotide unclassified non-coding RNA is filed under the name Trichoderma lacuwombatense. RNAcentral's name for it is "partial internal transcribed spacer 2". The record is from RNAcentral. Lineage: Eukaryota; Fungi; Ascomycota; Sordariomycetes; Hypocreales; Hypocreaceae.
CAACCCUCGAACCCCUCCGGGGGUCCGGCGUUGGGGAUCGGCCCUUUACCGGCCGGCCCCGAAAUGCAGUGGCGGUCUCGCCGCAGCCUCUCCUGCGCAGUAGUUUGCACACUCGCACCGGGAGCGCGGCGCGUCCACGUCCGUAAAACACCCAACUUCUGAAA